UACGCAGGGGGCAAGCGUUGUCCGGAAUUAUUGGGCGUAAAGCGCGUGUAGGCGGUCCGGUAAGUCGGGUGUGAAAGCCCCGGGCUCAACCUGGGAAUUGCAUUCGAGACUGAAUAGCUAGGGUACGGUAGAGGGAAGUGGAAUUUCCGGUGUAGCGGUGAAAUGCGUAGAUAUCGGAAGGAACAUCAGUGGCGAAAGCGACUUCCUGGACCAGUACCGACGUUCAGGCACGAAAGCGUGGGGAGCAAACAGG
RNAcentral lists this ribosomal RNA (253 nucleotides) under uncultured bacterium. RNAcentral describes it as "partial 16S ribosomal RNA". It matches the Rfam family "Bacterial small subunit ribosomal RNA", at positions 524 to 776 of the family's 1533-position model. The record is from RNAcentral.